Molecule: ribosomal RNA, 258 nt
Filed under: uncultured bacterium
Lineage: Bacteria
Description: partial 16S ribosomal RNA
Rfam family: Bacterial small subunit ribosomal RNA
Source: RNAcentral
UGGCGGACGGGUGAGUAACGCGUGGAUAACCUGCCGUAUACUGGGGGAUAACACUUAGAAAUAGGUGCUAAUACCGCAUAAGCGCACAGUCUCGCAUGAGACGGUGUGAAAAACUCCGGUGGUAUACGAUGGAUCCGCGUCUGAUUAGCUUGUUGGCGGGGUAACAGCCCACCAAGGCGACGAUCAGUAGCCGGCCUGAGAGGGUGAACGGCCACAUUGGGACUGAGACACGGCCCAAACUCCUACGGAAGGCAGCAG